Alexandromys fortis (reed vole) is the source of this 1271-nucleotide long non-coding RNA. RefSeq lists it as uncharacterized. The transcript is spliced from 3 exons. The record is from RefSeq and is a predicted model, not a curated record. NCBI's taxonomy places the organism in Eukaryota, Metazoa, Chordata, Mammalia, Rodentia, Cricetidae.
ACUUGUCCUGUCACGACGGUUACUCAUGACAAUGGUGGCAAAACUGGUGCCUGGAGACCGAUGAACUUCACUCCGUAAUCGAUUAGGCAAACACUUAGCAAGCAACUCCUCGGGGGCGGGAGUUCUUGGAGGCGCCAGAGGGACAGGCGAUUAAUAAAUAAACAAAUACAUCAGCAGGUAAAAUAAAAACUACAUCCAAGGGUGAUGUUAUAGAGGGUGUUGCAGUUUGAAUGUGCAAUGUCCCUCACUCAGCUCGCAGUCCAUGUAUUUGAAGAGUUGGUUUACGGUUGGAGGCACUGUUUUGGGGGGCUGUGGAUCUUUAGGAGGUGGGCCUGACUGGCAAAAACAGGGUGUUGACCUAUACAGGUUACAUCUAGUCCCAGCCUACGUCUCUGCCUCCUUAUUAGCAGCACCAUGUGAACAGUGGCCUGCCACCAACUCCAGCUACUACAACUGGGAAGCUCCUGCUGGCAGGCUUUCCUCACCAUGAUGAACUGAGACUUGCUGAAACUGUGACCCAAAAGAAAUCCUUCCUCCCUUAAGCUGCUGUGUCAGGGGAAGAGAAGAGAGUGGGCCAGGGGGCACUGGCAACCAAUACCCCGCAUAUACAGAGAAGUGCAAAGGCCAGGAUGUCUGGCAGUCCCUGAACCCAGCCAGCCUCAGUGGCUCUCACUCUGCUUUAGACAGUGUCCUCACGGAGAUUUGACAUCCUGGUGUAAGUAGCACAGACAGAUGAAGAUGCAGCCGCACAAACUCAUGGGGAGGCAAGGCCUGGCCCCACACACCCAGCAAUGUUCCUGUGAUACCCAGCACCCUCUCUCUCCGCUGCCCCUUGCUCUGUCUUGGGCUUGGGAAGGGGUUUGGUGGGGGUGGGGUGGGAAGAUGGCAAUAAAGUGGGAAUUUAAAAUUAAACAAGAUCUCACGUGUGUGCAUGCUUCCCCGCUAAUCAUAGGCAGCAAAUGUCCAUUCUGCUAUUAAAAAGGAAAAACCACUCCAUUCUGACUUGACUUUGCAUGUUUUCCCCACUUUUGUAAGGAAACCACUUCCCACAAAUCACCCCUUAUCCUUCGUAAAUGUUCAGUUCUCUGGUCUUACCAGAAAUUUUGCACUGGCAGAACUUAGACAAGACAACAGAAAACAAACAAACAAACCCUUCUUCCCCUCACUGUUGCCCUCCAGCUUCUAGAUUAUAUAUAGUCUGUCCACCAGAGAACCUUCCACAAUCACUGUCUUCCACGUGUCAACCCACGACAAUCACUCCUGCUACAGAA